AACUUUAAUUAUUUGCUUGUUUAUAAUUAAUGAAUUUUCUUGUUUCUUGAAAUUUUCCAGUUUGAUAACAGUUUGUUUCACCAAUGAUAACAUCAAAGUUUAAAAGGGGGAGUGACUUGUGUUUCAAAGGCGAAAUGUACGGCAAUUAAAGAUAGGUAGUCACAACUCACAAAAAUCUAAUACUGUAAGGUUCAUGACCAAAUUUUAUUUUUCAAUUUACUUAUAUAGAGUGUUCCGUGCAACUACAUUUCUAGAACUUGCAUUGUUUCUUUACUGUUGAUUGAUCUAUGUCAUUUACACAUUGAGGCAAAGUGCUUGGUCCUGUGAGCCUUUGAAGCCUACCCUGAUUAUGAUUUGAAAUUUAUCCUUUUUGAAAGCCAAAUUGAGCCGGUAGGUUUAGAUCUUUUUGUUCGGUGAUAAACUACAUUACAAACUUAGAGACUUUUAGAAUUUGUCCGAAUCUGAGUUAGGCAUUGUAGAAUGUUGUUAAAAAAUAAGUUUGGGGUUGCUAUAGGAAUUUGCAACCAACUAAGUUUGGGGUGGUGGUACUAGAGAACAAAGAACAAAUCAUGAAAAAUACACACAAAAAUGGUGUAUUAAAAAAAAAAAAAGAAUGAAAAACAAAGGGACAAACAUUGAAAAAUCUGAGUAAUUCCAAACUCGAUUGUCCCAAUAAGUUACAAAUAAUCUCUAGUACCCUUGCAAGAAUUGUUGUUCCAAAAGGUGAAUGAAUGAUGGAUUGAAUUUUGUGCUUAACUUCCGUAUGAAUGCCUAACUCAAAUUUUGUGUAGCCUACUUAUCCAAAUAUUAUUCCACCUUCACCUAAGCCCCGUUAUAAUCCUUUAAGACCUCAAAGUGUGUAAUGACAUUGAUUUUGAUUGACGUUUAGAAACUUUUCAAGCGUAUGAUAAUAUGUAGACCUGCAUGUUGAUUGUGUGUGAACCUUUAUCAAAUUGUUGAGGGGAGUUGUGAUUGGUGGAUGCAAGCAAGUCAAACUAGCUCAACAUAUGGCUAUUAGGGAGAUGAACUUUGAGGAUAUCAUUGGUUGGUGAGCUGUUAUUUUACUGUCAUUUUUCAUUCAACAAGUUUGUUCCUUGAGGACAAGUAACAGUUUAUGUUUGGGGUUGUGAUGGCAGUCAGUCAUUCACUAUUUUUAGAGUCAUUUUUAAUAAGUUUUUAGUCUAUUUUUAUUAGUUUACUAUUUAAUUUAGAGUCAUUUUAUAUAGGCUUAAUUGCACUUUUGUUUAUCGAGUCAAGUAUAUUUUUAUCUAUUAUUAUUGCUCAGUAGCUACAUGAUCAAACAAGAGAGAAAGAUAGCGUGACAUACAAAGGAAGGCUGGAUUGAAAAUAACAAGAACAUGUAUUAUGCAUUAGUAUUGAUGGUGGUAUUGGAUGAAAAAGUGGACCAAGGAAGCAUAUAUCAUGCUGACAUAUAUUUUUGAGUUAUAUACAUCGGCAUCAAAAGAUUAAAACAAGUCACAUAUAAACAUUUAAGGAAACGUGGAAUUAUAAAGUGGGCUUUGACCCAUGUUGUUGGUUGACCCGAGGGUUGGAACUUCAGCUUUGUUAUAAAAAAGGCCAAUUCACGCUUUGGUACAAAAGAAAAAAAGGAGCAGAUUCACGUUUUGGAGAGCUUCCUUCACGUUUUGGAACGGAUUGAAAGAGAGGCUGCUACGGCAUGUACAAGAAGAACAGCGAUUAGAAAGCAAAUUUUGGAGGCAACAACGAAACUCUCGGUUUAUUUUCUUUUCUCUGUUGUUUUAAUUUUAUGAAUAUGAGUAGCUAAGGUUUUAGUUUGAUUGAGCCAUGAUGAACCUUUUGUAAUAUAUGAAUCAGUAGUUGAUACUCUCUUUAUUAUUAAUGUUAUUCAGUCUUUAUUCAGAAUUACGUGUGUUCAUUGCUUUUCAUAUAAUUGUUUGUAUGACUAUUAACCCUAGCUUCGUGCAAUUACAUGAAUUGAUAUUAGGAAUUGAAUGACUAUUAACCCUAGCUUUUAAUCCUGAAAUAGUAAUCCUGUUUGAUUCAACAUAGGAACCUAGAGAUAGGAAAUUGAGGAUCAUGACUCAUGAAUUAACGUACUUUUAUCGCUUCCGCAGUUAUUCAAUCGGUUUAAGAGAUUAAAAGAUUAUAACUUAGGAAAGGGUUUUGAGUCAAGAGAUUGAUCAAAACUACUUAGUUAAUUUGUCGUAAAUAUUGAAUAGUAAUUAGUAAUAAAGGGAGGUAAACUACUCAUAUAAAGCAAUAGCGGAUUCAUCGGCAUAAUCAUCCUUCUCGAAUCAUCUUUCAACAACUUUUAUUUACUUUUUAUGCACACAAACCUACUGCCUCAGGCACUUACAAAAUUUACACAUCCUAGAUAUUAACUUUAUUGCUAAGUUGAGAUUAACACAGUCCUCGUGGAUACGAACUUAUUAUUUUUAUUACUUCGAUAGUUUUAGUACGCUUGCUAAAAUAUCUAUCAAGUUUUUGGCGCCGCUGCCGGGGACUGUUGAAUCAUUUCAACUUAGCAAUUUUGUUUUUGUUUAGGAUUUCUGUCAUUUAUAUAUAUUUUUUUUUUUUGUAUAUAUAUAUAUAUUGAAAAAAAAAAUUAUUUAUGCUCUUCGUUUUCUUCUCAUUGUACGGUUCUACUAAAAAGUUUAUCAAAGUUUUGCAGCUAUGAUAGACAGGUUACACCUCUAUGAGACAAAAGAGAUUUGGUCAUUGCAGUAUGAAAAAUAUAUGAUAUCUUUGAAGAUAAAAUGUUUGGACAGUAAAAUCUCUCUAUUAAAUGAGAGGUGUGACAAUUAUGAGGUGGAUCAACCAAGUAGUAAUUCUGAAGAGAAGAAAGAGGUGAUCAACAUCGAUUACAAUACUCAACUUCAAAAUAUUUUAGAUGAUUUCUUGGUGUCAAAUCAAGUUUCAGUUGAGAAGUUUGAAGUUCAGUGUGGUGAUCUUGUUGCAAAAGCACAUGAGUCUUAGAGGAAGCUGGUUCAGAUGGAGACUGAGUGUCACGAGGUUGUGGUGGAAGAAAAUUCCAAAGUGAGGAGUGUUGAUAUUUUCCCAAAGUCUGAACCAACGGGGGUUAAGGAAAUCACUCGUGUGCAGAUGGAUGCAUGUCCUUCUCUAAGGUGGGAGAUCUUAAAUUCCAAAGGUUUAACAGUGGGUGCAUGGGAGUAUCUGAUUCUUUAUGUCAAAUUGAUGGAAUUCCUACCAAACAAGAGGAAGAAGAAGGAUGAUAUAUUCUUUCUAUCAUUUUUGCCACCCUAACAGUGGUUGAAGCGUCAAGAUCAAUGACGUAAAAAAAAGUGCUUGGUGGGAGGCAACCCAUCCUUUUUUUUUUAAUGUUUUUUAUUUUGCAGGUAUUUUUUUUUCAGUUAAAAAAAAAAAGCAAACAAAAAAAAAAGUGAAAAGAUGGACCCAAAAAAAAAAAGGAGAAAAAAAAAAUCAGAGUCCACAUCAGUUCUUAUUUUUUAUUAUUUUCAAUAACUUAUCUUUAUCAGAUGUCAGUUGUGUCAUUUCUCAGUUUGAUUAACUUUAAUUAUUUGCUUGUUUAUAAUUAAUGAAUUUUCUUGUUUCUUGAAAUUUUCCAGUUUGAUAACAGUUUGUUUCACCAAUGAUAACAUCAAAGUUUAAAAGGGGGAGUGACUUGUGUUUCAAAGGCGAAAUGUACGGCAAUUAAAGAUAGGUAGUCACAACUCACAAAAAUCUAAUACUGUAAGGUUCAUGACCAAAUUUUAUUUUUCAAUUUACUUAUAUAGAGUGUUCCGUGCAACUACAUUUCUAGAACUUGCAUUGUUUCUUUACUGUUGAUUGAUCUAUGUCAUUUACACAUUGAGGCAAAGUGCUUGGUCCUGUGAGCCUUUGAAGCCUACCCUGAUUAUGAUUUGAAAUUUAUCCUUUUUGAAAGCCAAAUUGAGCCGGUAGGUUUAGAUCUUUUUGUUCGGUGAUAAACUACAUUAC
Molecule: long non-coding RNA, 3939 nt
Filed under: Medicago truncatula (barrel medic)
Lineage: Eukaryota; Viridiplantae; Streptophyta; Magnoliopsida; Fabales; Fabaceae
Description: long non-coding RNA (MTRU_LNC000330)
Source: RNAcentral